GGAGAGAUGGCUGAGUGGACUAAAGCGGCGGA
This 32-nucleotide transfer RNA is filed under the name Bertiera guianensis. RNAcentral's name for it is "partial transfer RNA-Ser". Lineage: Eukaryota; Viridiplantae; Streptophyta; Magnoliopsida; Gentianales; Rubiaceae. The record is from RNAcentral. RNAcentral also lists the same sequence under 1 other name.